UGGGGAAUUUUGGACAAUGGGCGCAAGCCUGAUCCAGCCAUGCCGCGUGCGGGAAGAAGGCCUUCGGGUUGUAAACCGCUUUUGUCAGGGAAGAAAUCUUCUGAGUUAAUACCUCGGGAGGAUGACGGUACCUGAAGAAUAAGCACCGGCUAACUACGUGCCAGCAGCCGCGGUAAUACGUAGGGUGCAAGCGUUAAUCGGAAUUACUGGGCGUAAAGCGUGCGCAGGCGGUUUUGUAAGACAGAGGUGAAAUCCCCGGGCUCAACCUGGGAACUGCCUUUGUGACUGCAAGGCUUGAGUGCGGCAGAGGGGGGAUGGAAUUCCGCGUGUAGCAGUGAAAUGCGUAGAUAUGCGGAGGAACACCGAUGGCGAAGGCAAUCCCCUGGGCCUGCACUGACGCUCAUGCACGAAAGCGUGGGGAGCAAACAGGAUUAGAUACCCCUGGUAGUCCACGCCCUAAACGAUGUCAACUGGUUGUUGGGGAAGGUUCCUUCUCAGUAACGUAGCUAACGCGUGAAGUUGACCGCCUGGGGGAGUACGGCCGCAAGGUUGAAACUUAAAUGAAUUGAC
Molecule: ribosomal RNA, 570 nt
Filed under: uncultured bacterium
Lineage: Bacteria
Description: partial 16S ribosomal RNA
Rfam family: Bacterial small subunit ribosomal RNA
Source: RNAcentral